GAGGUAGCAGCUCUCACCAGCCAGUUACGGUGUACCAGGCACUGGUGCUUGUCAAGGGGCCUUGGAUGGUAGAUAUGGUGCCUGAUCAGCUGGUUUUCAACAUUUUCUACUCUAGCCUGGAGCACUGUGUUCUUCCUCCCUGCCUUCUCCAACCCUGUGUCAAGUCAAAGCUCUGUCUAAAGGGCCAAUUCAUAUUCCAGGAAGUCUCACAUUAACUGUGAUCGAAGCAAGAGCUUUUGGUACUUCCACAGAUGGAAAAAAAAUACAGCAAUUCCAAUGGGAUUCCCUGUCUCUGUGCCCACAUCCUCAGCUCAGCCGUGCACUCGGGAAGCCAGGGUGAGUGUUGGGAGCAAGAGGUCACACUCCAUCCUGGCUGCUCCCUUUGCAGCAGGACACUGAGCAGGGAGGUAAGACAGAUGAGUAGCAACUCCCUCAUGCCUUACCUGACUCCCUCAUGCCUUGCCUUCCCCCACUCCCCAGGUUUUUCUGUUUAUUAGUAUGGUCAGAGACUUGAGUUUAGGAAUAGAGGGGUAGGACUUUUGCACAAACAGAAAUAAAACCAAACAUGAAUUCUGUGGGGAGUGCA
RNAcentral lists this long non-coding RNA (586 nucleotides) under Cyanistes caeruleus (blue tit). RNAcentral's name for it is "lncRNA (ENSCCEG00000007053.1)". The record is from RNAcentral. Lineage: Eukaryota; Metazoa; Chordata; Aves; Passeriformes; Paridae.